CUUUUGGGCAAAAAUCUCACUGAAUCCUUCUGCUGGCCUGAGUCUGGAGAGCAUGAGGUGGGGAGAGGUUUGUGUGGGCUGAUAAAGGCCUGGAAACAAUAGGGUUUGUAAAGCACGGAGCUGGGAAAGUGCUUAAUAGCCCCUGGGGCAGAGCAGUCCUGCUGGUGCCUACUCUGUCCCUUUGGCCACGGCCUCUCCGCAGGGUGAUGAGAGCCCGGCGCGUGGGCACCACCUCUCCAUCCGUGCUUGCCCUGCCCACCCAGGGACGCGGGUCUGGCCCCUUCGCCGGCGGGCUGGGCUGGCGCCGGACCAGAGCGUCGCUGUGCCACGACCCGAGCUGCUCCGGGCUCUUGUUUGUGCCUCCGAAUAAUAGCUUCGCCAGUGAAAAAACAUGAUCUUUGGUUUUGCUGCCUUGAGGCUGAACUAUUGCCCUCCCCAGGGACGGGUCCCUGCAGGCUGGCGGGGGCUUUAUAGCUUGCACUGAUUUACGCUGGAGGUGGCGCAGGGCAGAGCUGUCGCAGCCAGCGCUGAAGUCACCCAACAACAGGACCGUCCCGGCGUGACCUUGCCCAGGUGCAACGGGGUAAAGUCAGAGCGAGGCACAGCAACGUCAUUCAGGAGCAGUGAACCCCCCCGCCAGCGCCAAUACCCGCACAGGCCCAGUUCAAACCAGCAAGGGUUGGGGAAUCUUCCCGGGGGGACACGGCGAGGUCCUGGGGCAGCAGCACCCCCCGUUUCCGUGCGUGCCGCUGCACCCCGUUCCCGCGAGGUCCCGGUGGCUCCGCAGCUCACCCGGGCUCAGGGAGACCCGUGGGAAGAAACCCCCCGUCCAGGCGGAGAGAAAGGAAACGGCUCCAACCCGCUGGGCCUGUGCAACCCCCGCGGCUCUGGGAAACACCCCUGGCGAGCCCGUGGCAUUGUACUUGAGGGAAUUACAGCCGAUCGCCGCUGCUGAUAACGGCCUCAUACACCUCUCACCUGCAGUCUCAUUUACCUGCCUUUUACCCCCCUCUAAUAUUUUCUGAGCUCGAUGCUUGUUUUUGGCCAAGUUGUACGCAGGGGUAGAAGUCAAAAGGACGUUUCUAUACGCUUCAGGAGAACUGCUGAAGGAGCGGAGACACGUUCCUGCCGAGAAAACUGCUAGAGCAGGAGCCCAGCCCUCUACUAGACAUCAGAGAAUUCACAGAGCAGGUGACCAGCACGGCAAAACUUCAGGGGAAAGCUGGCUUCCUUGGCUUUGCUGCUCGUGCAGUCGCUCGGUUUGUUUUGUUCUGGCUUUGAGAUACUGAUGGAGGCAAAAAUAAUUUGCUUUAUACGCAUCGAAUUAAAAGGAUGAUGCGAAACCCACAGGGUGCUUCAGGCAGAGAGCGUGAGCAUCGGGCGCCGGCCGAGCCCCUUCGGAGAACGGGGGGCUCCUGCGGUUAGCCGGCUCGUAUGACUCAAUGUAUAACCACCAGUUACACACUAGAUUUAAUCUUGGGUCAAAAGUCAUGGAUACUUCCAACCCCGCGGAGAAGGUCGAUUGCGCACUCGCUGUUUCUCGUGCUGCUCUCCGCCG
Long non-coding RNA from Struthio camelus australis, 1558 nucleotides. The record is from Ensembl. Lineage: Eukaryota; Metazoa; Chordata; Aves; Struthioniformes; Struthionidae.